RNAcentral lists this ribosomal RNA (205 nucleotides) under uncultured bacterium. Its description in RNAcentral is "partial 16S ribosomal RNA". It matches the Rfam family "Bacterial small subunit ribosomal RNA", at positions 570 to 774 of the family's 1533-position model. The record is from RNAcentral.
CGCAGGCGGCUUCGGAAGUCAUGGGUGAAAGCCCCAGGCUCAACCUGGGAAUGGCCUGUGAAACCACGGAGCUAGAGUGCUGGAGAGGAAAGCGGAAUUCCCAGUGUAGCGGUGAAAUGCGUAGAUAUUGGGAGGAACAUCUGUGGCGAAGGCGGCUUUCUGGACAGACACUGACGCUGAGGCGCGAAAGCUAGGGGAGCGAACG